UACGAAGGGGGCUAGCGUUGCUCGGAAUCACUGGGCGUAAAGCGCACGUAGGCGGACUCUUAAGUCGGUGGUGAAAUCCUGGAGCUCAACUCCAGAACUGCCUUCGAUACUGGGAGUCUCGAGUUCGGGAGAGGUGAGUGGAACUGCGAGUGUAGAGGUGAAAUUCGUAGAUAUUCGCAAGAACACCAGUGGCGAAGGCGACUUCCUGGCCUGUUCUUGACGCUGAGGCGCGAAAGCUAGGGGAGCAAACGGG
RNAcentral lists this ribosomal RNA (253 nucleotides) under uncultured bacterium. Its description in RNAcentral is "partial 16S ribosomal RNA". It matches the Rfam family "Bacterial small subunit ribosomal RNA", at positions 524 to 776 of the family's 1533-position model. The record is from RNAcentral.